Molecule: ribosomal RNA, 537 nt
Filed under: uncultured Acidobacteriota bacterium
Lineage: Bacteria; Pseudomonadati; Acidobacteriota
Description: bacterial SSU rRNA
Rfam family: Bacterial small subunit ribosomal RNA
Source: RNAcentral
UUGAUCCUGGCUCAGAAUCAACGCUGGCGGCGUGCCUAACACAUGCAAGUCGAACGCGAAAGCCCCGCAAGGGGUGAGUAGAGUGGCAAACGGGUGAGUUACGCGUGGGUGACCUGCCUUCGAGUGGGGGAUAACGUUUCGAAAGGGACUCUAAUACCGCAUAACAUCCUGCCUUUUAAGAGGUGGAGAUCAAAGCUGGUGAUCGCAAGACCUAGCGCUGGAAGAGGGGCCCGCGUCUGAUUAGCUAGUUGGUGGGGUAACGGCUCACCAAGGCUACGAUCAGUAUCCGGCCUGAGAGGUCGGACGGACACACUGGGACUGAGACACGGCCCAGACUCCUACGGGAGGCUGCAGUGGGGAAUUGUUCGCAAUGGGCGCAAGCCUGACGACGCAACGCCGUGUGGAGGAUGAAGACCUUCGGGUCGUAAACUCCUUUCGAUCGAGACGAAUGGCCUCCGGGUGAACAAUCCGGAGGAGUGACGGUACCGAGAGAAGAAGCUCCGGCUAACUCCGUGCCAGCAGCCGCGGUAAUAAGGU